RNAcentral lists this ribosomal RNA (467 nucleotides) under uncultured bacterium. RNAcentral describes it as "partial 16S ribosomal RNA". It matches the Rfam family "Bacterial small subunit ribosomal RNA", at positions 28 to 507 of the family's 1533-position model. The record is from RNAcentral.
GACGAACGCUGGCGGCGUGCUUAACACAUGCAAGUCGAACGAUGACGACCGAGCUUGCUCGGUCUGAUUAGUGGCGAACGGGUGAGUAACACGUGAGCAACCUGCCCUUCACUCUGGGAUAACCUCGGGAAAUCGGGGCUAAUACCGGAUAUGAGCUCCUGUCGCAUGGCGGGUGUUGGAAAGUUUUUCGGUGAAGGAUGGGCUCGCGGCCUAUCAGUUUGUUGGUGAGGUAGUGGCUCACCAAGGCGAUGACGGGUAGCCGGCCUGAGAGGGCGACCGGCCACACUGGGACUGAGAGACGGCCCAGACUCCUACGGGAGGCAGCAGUGGGGAAUAUUGCACAAUGGGCGAAAGCCUGAUGCAGCGACGCCGCGUGAGGGAUGACGGCCUUCGGGUUGUAAACCUCUUUCAGCAGGGAAGAAGCGAAAGUGACGGUACCUGCAGAAGAAGCGCCGGCUAACUACGUG